GAUGAACGCUAGCGGCAGGCUUAAUACAUGCAAGUCAAACGGCAAGGACUUUCGGUCCCUAGAGUGGCGCACGGGUGAGUAACACGUACACAACAUACCCUAUAUUGGAGGAUAGCCUUGGGAAACUGGGGGUAAUAUUCCAUAGUAUUUAUUGGAGGCAUCUCUGAUAAAUUAAAGAGCAAUCGAUAUAGGAUUGGUGUGCGUCCCAUUAGCUAGUUGGUAGGGUAACGGCCUACCAAGGCUACGAUGGGUAGCUGGCGUGAGAGCGCGACCAGCCACACUGGAACUGAGACACGGUCCAGACUCCUACGGGAGGCAGCAGUUAGGGAAUAUUGGACAAUGGAGGCAACUUCUGAUCCAGCCAUUGCCGCGUGGAGGAUGACCUGCCCUCU
This 392-nucleotide ribosomal RNA is filed under the name uncultured bacterium. RNAcentral's name for it is "bacterial SSU rRNA". It matches the Rfam family "Bacterial small subunit ribosomal RNA", at positions 28 to 420 of the family's 1533-position model. The record is from RNAcentral.